GACUGUGAGCGAUGGCUUGUGAACCUCAGUUGCUUUGCUGUUGCUGUUUCUGGCAGCAAAUGGAGUGGAGGAAAGCUUAAAUCCUUGGCCUUUAGAGUUGCGCAUUAGAGGUCAAAGCUGCCCCUUCCUAGCUGUAGAAGAGCUGGUGUGUACGCGGUGUGUAUACUUGUACCUUGAACAAGUCAGCGAAGCAAACAGCUCUGCCUGUUGGGAUGUACGAAAAUGAAGCCCGCCAUGGGGAGCCUCGAGCCGCGGAGCUGAAGGCCUGAUGUGAGCUGAGCCAUGAAGGAAAGAGGAUGUUGCAGUGAGCGUUGAUGCUGAAGACUACCUGC
This is a long non-coding RNA of Mus musculus (house mouse), 332 nucleotides long. RefSeq annotates it as predicted gene, 30143. The record is from RefSeq and is a predicted model, not a curated record. NCBI's taxonomy places the organism in Eukaryota, Metazoa, Chordata, Mammalia, Rodentia, Muridae. The transcript has 3 exons.